UUGCGAGCCGAACCCGGGAGCGGGCGCCAUGGUGCUGUUGCACGUGCUGUUUGAGCAUGCUGUCGGCUACGCGCUGCUGGCGCUGAAGGAAGUGGAGGAGAUCAGUCUGCUGCAGCCGCAGGUGGAGGAGUCCGUGCUCAACCUGGGCAAAUUCCACAACAUCGUUCGUCUGGUGGCCUUUUGUCCCUUUGCGUCAUCCCAGGUUGCCUUGGAAAAUGCCAACGCCGUGUCUGAAGGUAAGUCGGCCACCGCCAAGCAUCACAGAGAGAUGUGGUUCCUUUCGAUAUCCUCUCGGGCAGCUUGUGAUAGUAUUUGCCGUCCUUGGCUGGCUCUGAGUCUGAUAGGUGUGAGGCAGUAUUUGAGACAUACAAUGUGUAAUUUGAAAUAAUUGUCUUCACAGAGCUCAAGGUCUGGGAACUGUGCUAGACCAAACUGUUUAAAGCAGACGAUGUGGGAUGUGUGUUACGUUUCCUUGUGGGCACUGUAGUGGCAAAUUAUUUUUUAUUUUUAUUUUUUUUGAGAUGGAGUCUGUCCCCCAGGCUGGAGUGCAGUGGCAAGAUCUGGGCUCACUGCAACCUCUGCCUCUCUGGUUCAGGCGAUUCUCCUGCCUCAGCCUCCCGAGUAACUGGGAUUACAGGCCUGUGCCAGCCACCAUGCCCGGCU
Molecule: small RNA, 663 nt
Filed under: Pongo abelii (Sumatran orangutan)
Lineage: Eukaryota; Metazoa; Chordata; Mammalia; Primates; Hominidae
Description: processed transcript
Source: RNAcentral